RNA transcript from Durio zibethinus, 1428 nucleotides. It is a transcript of the gene named universal stress protein PHOS32-like, with no coding region annotated. The record is from RefSeq and is a predicted model, not a curated record. NCBI's taxonomy places the organism in Eukaryota, Viridiplantae, Streptophyta, Magnoliopsida, Malvales, Malvaceae.
AAUCAAAGUUGGUCUGCUAUUUCAACCCACGUUCCAAAUAUUAAAACCAAAACGAAACUUCAAAACAGGAAGGAAAAAAAAUAUCCAAGGAAACCAGAAUUCAGAAACGAAAACAACUUUUUUUGUUUCUUUAAGGAAUCGUUUUGGAAUCAAUCAACUAAAUGGAGACGGUAUUGGAAGAUGAAGAGUACAAUUACAGAGAAGUAAUUUUACCUAAAUUGAUCCCAAUAGUUCCAGAGCCGGGAUUAGAGAGGGAAACAGGGGAGAGAAGGAGAGGCAGGGAUAUAGUUAUAGCCGUUGAUCAUGGUCCCAACAGCAAACACGCCUUUGAUUGGGCAGUUAUUCACCUCGUCAGGCUUGCUGAUACCAUCCAUCUUGUCCAUGCUGUUUCCAGCGUCAGAAACGAGAUUGUUUAUGAAAUCAGUCAAGGGCUUAUGGAGAAGUUAGCUGUGGAGGCUUUUGAAGUUGCCAUGGUGAGGACUACAGCUCGAAUCAUUGAGGGGGAUGCAGGUAAAGUAAUUUGCAAGGAAGCAGAAAGGUUGAAGCCAGCAGCAGUGGUUAUGGGAACUCGUGGUAGAAGCUUAAUACAAAGUGUUCUUCAAGGAAGUGUGAGCGAGUAUUGCUUCCACAACUGCAAAUCUGCUCCUGUCAUAAUUGUACCUGGGAAAGAUUACCUGUUUUUCAUUUACAACAAAUUCAUUUCUGCAAUGGAAAUCUUAAUUAUGGUUGCUUGUAAUUAUUAUCGUACUGAAAUCUUCGGCCGUCUAAUGGGUCUAAUAGAUCCACUCCACAAGUGAAAUGCCCUUGAACGGAUGACUUUCCUGUGCCUCUGCCAACCCAUUUGUUCCCAGCUGCAAACGGGCCCAGGAAGCAGUGGAAUGGUGCUGGCUGUUUCUCAGGAUUCUUGUUCAAGGUAAAGACAAGCACUGGACUUUCACUUGCUCCAAACAAAUCCAACAGAAUCUUUGUGGGAUUUGUCCCUUUUUAUUCCUUGGAAUUGCUGCAUGAGAAAGGUUAGAAAGGAGGGAAAAAAUACACACAAAAGAAAUGGGCCCAAGAAAGGGAAAAGGCAAUCUCAUCUUUCACAAUCAACACAAAACAAAGAGAAUCAAAGAGAUCUUGCCUAUGGAUGAGGCCAGGUCCACCCCUUUCACUUUUACUUAUGGCUUGCAAAUGAAGGUAAGCUGAGGCUUGUGACUCCAAGAAUAAGUAGAUGCAAUGAAGGUGCAGGCAUCCUUCAAUGGUCCUUGCCAGAGCCGCAACCUACACUGAAAAGCUUCCUUCUUAUUCAUUACAACACCAGUAGUUUUUUGAGUGUCUUUUAAAACUAUCCUUCGAUAGAACAUCCCCCAGUCCUUCAGCUUUUGCUUGUAGGAAUUCAGGUCCAUUAUUGACAAUUAUGAUAAAGAUGGUUGCUCAAGUGGUGUA